UGGGGAAUCUUAGACAAUGGGCGAAAGCCUGAUCUAGCGAUGCCGCGUGUGUGACGAAGGCCUUAGGGUCGUAAAGCACUUUCGCCAGGGAUGAUAAUGACAGUACCUGGUAAAGAAACCCCGGCUAACUCCGUGCCAGCAGCCGCGGUAAUACGGAGGGGGUUAGCGUUGUUCGGAAUUACUGGGCGUAAAGCGCACGUAGGCGGACUAUUAAGUCAGGGGUGAAAUCCCGGGGCUCAACCCCGGAACUGCCUUUGAUACUGGUAGUCUUGAGUUCGAGAGAGGUGAGUGGAAUUCCGAGUGUAGAGGUGAAAUUCGUAGAUAUUCGGAGGAACACCAGUGGCGAAGGCGGCUCACUGGCU
RNAcentral lists this ribosomal RNA (362 nucleotides) under uncultured prokaryote. Its description in RNAcentral is "bacterial SSU rRNA". It matches the Rfam family "Bacterial small subunit ribosomal RNA", at positions 355 to 734 of the family's 1533-position model. The record is from RNAcentral.